UCCCUCUCAGGAUUGCACCUGGAGAGUUUCUAAUACCCUCCAGUCUCAGUUGAGGGAGAGACAGUCAAGUAGAGGCCUAACCAUUCCAUUCCUAGCUUGGGCAGUGGCUAGUAAGUGGAAGACAAUCUGCUAUAAGU
Small nucleolar RNA from Ornithorhynchus anatinus (platypus), 137 nucleotides. The record is from RefSeq and is a predicted model, not a curated record. NCBI's taxonomy places the organism in Eukaryota, Metazoa, Chordata, Mammalia, Monotremata, Ornithorhynchidae.